Balaenoptera ricei (Rice's whale) is the source of this 15084-nucleotide long non-coding RNA. RefSeq lists it as uncharacterized. The record is from RefSeq and is a predicted model, not a curated record. The transcript is spliced from 9 exons. Lineage: Eukaryota; Metazoa; Chordata; Mammalia; Artiodactyla; Balaenopteridae.
UUCCAGCCGCUUCAUUCCUGACCCGGCAAAGCCUGGCCUUUGUUGAGGGGGGCUUGAGGCGCUCUCUCUUCUCUUGGUUUGGCUGGACCAGGUUCAGGAGAAAAGGGAACAAAGGAGAAUGCAACAGGCUAUUCUGCUGGCGGCCGGCUGAACCCAGGGAAGAGCCGGACCAAACGGAGGCCCCCAUGAGGGACUUGGCAAAAGACUCUUGUUGGGUUACCAUCUUGAACUUGAAGGAGGCCUUUUUUGCACACUCUUGAGUUUUGAAUCCCAAGAGUUGUCUGCUUUCGAAUGGGAAGGUCGAGAUAAAGGAGUUAAACUCCAGUACUGCUGGACGGUGCUUCCUCAGGGAGUUAAAAAUUCUCACACUACUUGGAGAAGUCCUGGCGAGACCUGAGGGACCUUGAACUAAACGGGGGAGCCCUGAUUACCAGUGAGACAAAGGACUCCUGAGACCAAGGUAUGGGUUUGACUUCGACCUUCUUGGCUGAACGAGGCUGUAAGGUGUCCAAGAAAAAGGUAGAUUCUCAGCCCUUUGUUAAAUAUUCUGGGGUUUUGAACUCAAGGACAGAGAGCUGCUCCCUGCUGGGAGGGAAGCUCUAGCCAGGACUGCAGUUGCCACCAGGAGGCAACUGUGGGAUUCCUGGGAGCGACUGGGCGCUGCUACACCUGGACCCCCAAGUUUGGACUCGUAGCAAAACCCUUUUAAUGAAGCUUUUAAAGGCAGUUACACAGAAACCCUAGACUGAAAUCUUGGAGGAUAAACAUCCAGGAGACCGGCUUCAUUCCUGCUGGACGGGACCUUGUGAGAAAUGCGAUGGGAAACGGAAACCACGCUGCAGAAGGAAGACCGCGACCGAGAUCAUCCAAACCUUGUCUGGUUUCAGACCCCGACACUGACUUCUUUCAGGGGCAGGUGAACCCCGACAGAUCUUCAGCUGCUUUUCAGAAGCUGCGAGAAAGAAAUCAAGGUGAGUGGGUUUGCUGCAGUGGUGGCUUUGGUCACAUCAGACGCUUCAGAAGGCAACUUAAAUAACUUGUUAUAAGAAGGAUCUGUUCUCGUGGUAGUCCUUUGUUUCUAACUUCCUAGGUUUGGAAGGACUUUGGUUGCACUGGUAACUUAUCAGGCUGAUCACCUGACCCCUGUCUUUCCCUGGAUCUCUAAAAAUCCUAAAUGUUAACCAUGGCUGGCAUUCUCUGUGCUCCUGAGGGGUAUGUCUUUGCAGUUUCAGUUAUCAGUCUUGGUCCCGUGGCUGCCUUGGCAGCUGGUGCCUGGGUGGUAUUUAUUUAUUGGGUCAAUGUUAACAUGACCCAAUGUUAACAAGAAAGUAUACUCAAAUGAGUGCUUGAUAGUUUGACUUCUCAAGCGCUUGUUGGAUCUCUGCCCCUUAGCAGCAGGGAGUAGCCAGAGGCAUCCUCACCCCUCUCCCUGGAGGUUGAGGAACAACGAGAAGAUGGCGGUGCUGAACCUUGAACCCGUGGGUUAGACGCACUCCACCUGCCAUCCCUAACGAAGGUUGUGAAGACUUGCGUGGCCUCCAGGCAGCCUAAUCAGUAGGUGUUUGUCGGAGUUGUUCUCCAGGAGCUUGGAGUCAGCUGUGUCGAGUUAGGGCUCAGCCAGUUGAGAUGGGGUAGGACCACCGACCCCUCAGCUGGGCCUGCGCCUGCACUGGAGACCUUGUGAACGUGCAGAGGCCUGGAGCCUAGUUACGCCUGCGCAGAAGGACGAUUACACACCUUUUGCCCAUCACGGCAGCCCUAUUCGCUGUCCCAUUAGUACCCCAGCCCCUUGCCUUCUGGGAGGCAGAUCGGAGAUUUGUCCCCCAGCCUCCUUGCCGCAGACCUCGGCAGCUCAGCGUCUUGGCUGGCCCUGCACCAGGCAGAACGAACCUGGUUCAGUAACCGUGACACGAAUUCACUUGUGACAUGUCACCUAGGAGGGUGCUCGAAUGCACCAUCUCCAGAAAGCCCCUGACGGGAAACCUGGUCCAGCUGGGCUCAGCACCCUCAGACGCCGGGCCUUCCCAGUUGGUCUGAAAACGCAAGUAACUCGUUACCAGAAAUAGCUAGUCUUUCAGUUGUUUAGUUCUCAGAACUCGGAGGCAGCUCCUUCCUCCCAGGCCCGGAGUCCUCCCUUCCCUCCUGGCUAGAGUACUUCCUGAGUGGAGGACGAAGGCUGGAGGAGCCCAGGGCUCCGGAUCUGGUGGGUGUAGACCCCCCCACACCGCCGCCAGGACAGACACCAGCUGGUCCCGUGGACCGGUCCAGCAUCUCAGCUCCCAGGGAGGCGAGCCUGACCCGGAGCGAGGAGGUGACUGCCCGAGGUAAACGUCUAGCUUUCGGUGGAGAGGACUAGUACACGGCUCUCCUAACGACGAACCCUUCACGGCAGAUGAAGCUGGCGGGGGAGGCUGACGCAGGGCAGGCGGAGCUGUGGGCUGGAGGGAGGCCGUCCCGGGGGACGGAGGUCACCUGCUGAGGGAACCUCAUCUGCGCUCGGCCCGCUGAGGGACCUGAGGCUUCUUCCCAUCCGCAGCCCCUCACCCUCGACACAGGCUGGGUCAUGUCUGUCUGCCCCUGGCAGCACAGAUACUCCUACCCGGCUGUUCUCAGGUGAGCCGAGGGGUGGGGCUGUGGAGCCUGCAACUCGGGGGCCGUGAGGACCAGGCUCAGCUCACAGAUGGAGGAGCAAGCCGGAGGGAGGGGCCAGCUGCCCGUGGCCGCAAGGCCAGUCGUCGCCGCUGAGAUCCAGGCCCGGGGCGCCGGGCUCUGUCCCCACGCGCCGUCCUGUGCUGCGGGCUGAGCGGGUGUGCCCUUGGUGCAGCGGACGGAGUGCGGGUCUCAGCCUGGGGCUUCAACACGGUAAGACGAUGUUUGUGGAUUUCAUCAGCAGCUGUGACACAGGAUUUUCUUUCUCUGAUUGUACAGGUUUUUAAAAAUUAAUUAAUUUUUGGACAUGUUGGGUCUUCGUUGCUGUGCGCAGGCUUUCUCUGGUUGUGGCGAGUGGGGUCUACUCUUCUUUGUGGUGCACGGGCUUCUUACUGCGGUGGCUUCUCAUUGCGGAGCACAGGCUCUAGGCGUGCUGGCUUCAGUAGUUGUGGCACGCAGGUUCAGUAGUUGUGGCUCACAGGCUCCAGAGCCCAGGCUCAGUAGUUGUGGCGCACGGGCUUAGUUGCUCUGUGGCAUGUGGGAUCUUCCCGGACCAGGGCUUGCACCCAUGUUCCCUGCACCGCCAGGUGGAUUCUUAAGCACUGCGCCCCUAGAGAAGUCUCUGAUGGUACAGUUUUAAACGUAAUGUAAUAGAAACCACAGGUGUAUGUAUUUCAGUGUUUUCUGAGCUGUGAGGAAGUGGGGUCACUUCACAAGGCAUAGGUCGCCUGUGCUGCCACUUCAAAAUGAAGAUGCGACAGGCAGGAUCCCCUCCGGGGGGGGGGGGGGAUCAGGAUAAGACACUCAGACUCUACGCAGGGAACCGUGUUGUCACGUCCUGGCUGAUCCCGGGGCGUUGUUGCGUGACCACCGGGCCAGAGCUGGAAAGGGGGUCUCACCCCAGCAAAGCCUCCGUCGGGGGAAACUGCUCACCUUUAAAAGUAAGAAGCGGACCCCGUGCCGUCAGAGCACCGAGUUCUCUGGAAUUUCCUGGGCAGCAGGGGAGGAAGGUGGCCCAGGCUUCUGGGGUCUGGAGGGCUGGCCCAGGUCUGGCCUGUGCAGCCCCUCCCGCUCCACCCAAGGGGCCGACCUGCAGGACGGAGCCCUGAGGAACCAGGUACGAGGCAAACCCAGGGUCAGUAACGCUUUUCCAAGAGAUGGCAGGCUCUGAACGUGAAGGACAAGGGCCGAGUCCCCCGACCACUGUGGGAAAUGCCGUCAUUUGCAGGGCUGAGGGAGAGGGCAAUGGGCAGCUGUGCCUCCUGCACGUGAGACCCCCGCCUGGUCCUGCACUGAGGGUAGGUGCUCCUUGAGCGGGACCCUGGGUGACUCUCCUGGCACUGGGUCAGUUAACACAUCUCUCCCGGGUAGCUGCCGCUCACGAUUCUGCUGUUCCCCACGGGCUCCGGCGACCACUGCUAUGUGCUCUGCAGAUGCUGUGUUUCUUACAGAUCCAAGGUCUGUGGCAAUCCUGCGUUGAGCAAAUCUGGUGCCGAUUCUCCAACUGCAUUUGCUCAUUUUGUCAUGCUUUAGUUAUUCUUAGAGUGUUUCAGACUUUCAUCAUUUGAUGUGUGACAGUGAUUUUACUGAUUCUGACUUGGAAAACUCAGGUGCUGGUUAGUGUUUUUUAACGAUGAAGUGUUAAGGUGUGUAGGCUGUUCAGAUGUAAGUCUGUAUACAUAACAGAUUGAAACAUAGCGUAAGCAAGCUUUAUAUGCACCGGAACACCUACCAAGUCGUGUGAUUCGUGUUGUUGUGAUCAGUUUCCGGUGAUGGAGAGAUCUUGGGUUCAUGUCUGAGGUCUGCCUGUCACACGCCCCAGGGGAGCCUGUGGAGCUCUGGGAACAGGACUGGGGCUCCAGGAACACUGCGCCCCCCUGCACCCUGUAGAAGGGACAGCCUGGACCAGUGUGACAGAAGUGCCACGUGGUCUGGAGCAGAGGAGGGUCACAGUCACUCCCGGACCAAACUGGUUGGGCUCCUCUGAGCAGUUCCCAACUAGGCCCUGACCCUUCAGGCUUCAGCGUCUGUAUUUUCAUUGUCCAUUUUAGCAAGAUUCCUGUUGUGUCAGUUUAGCCAGAGCUCCCCAGGCUCAACUUCUGACCACCAUCAACAUCUGACUGGAUUCCUCAUCCCCCGUCCUCCCCUAAUGAGGUCUGACCCUUUGGUCUGCUCUCUGCAUGAAUCCUGUACGUCGGUUUAGCGCUAUGAUCUGAAUGUGUGUCCCCCAAACUCCUGUGGAAUCCUAAUGCCUGAAGUGAUGGUGUUGGCCUUUGGGAGGUGAUGAUGUCAUGAGGGUGGAGCCCCUGUGAAUGGGAUUAGUGCCCUGAUAAGAGACCCCUGAGAGCCCCCAGCCCUUCUGCCACGUGAAGACACAGGGAGAAGAUGCCGUCUGUGAACCAGGAAGAAGCCUCACCAGACGUUGAAUCUGCCGGCACCUUGAUCCUGGACGUCCAGUCUCUAGGCUGUGAGGACUCGACUCGUGCUUAAGCCCCAAGUCCAGCCCUGUUAGAGCAGCUCAGACAGACACCUCCACCCCUGCUGUUUCCUCUGACUUCCCGUUGGUGGCACCACCUGCUCCUGGCUGUCACCCCCACAGUGGGAGGCAGAGCCAGCGGGACCUGCUGAUGGAGUGGAUGUUCAGGAAUCAAACGGCGGAAUCGAGGACGAUGCCAGGAGUUCUGACAUAAACAGGCAGUAAAGAUGAAGCUGAAGGAAGACAGGCUGUUGAGGAGAAAAUCAAAGCCGGUUUGGGGUGGAGUGGAGCCCGACGCCUGCCCAACACACCGGACAAGAUGUUCGAGGGAAGCUGGCUGUGCAGCCGGGGCGGAGAGGCUCAGAUUCCCCUCCCCGCCGCCUGGGCCCUGAUCUCCGAGACCCUCCGGACACCCUCCUCUUACAGGGCCGACUUGAUCUGCCUCUGACCGUGGCAAGGAUGCUGGCGAUUGGGGAGGCCAGCCUGGGAACACCGCCACCUGCCCCUCCCCCAGCGAGGUGACCACACACAGAGCUGGUGACUACUGCUCCUCACCCGCUGAGCGUUCUCCAGAGACACUUCUGCCACUGCUGCGACAGAUGCCGUCACCUCCGCACUCAGUUAGUGCCUACUGAAUGCGUACCGCGCAGCAGGUGCUGCAGGACCUGGAGCAGGUCAUCCCAGGGGGCCCUACAGCAGCCCGUGUCACAGGGAAGGAGGGACCCGGCGGAGGACUGUCUCUGGCUCCUCACACGGCCGGGGCUGGCCCCAGGUCCCUGUCGCCGUGAGACCCGGCCCCUUGCUGGCCGGCUUCAGUUAUAAUGCUCACUGUGCUCGGCCGGGAGACGCAUGCGGCCGUGCUUAGACCUCGUCCACCUCAGGAGCGGGGCUGGGGCCGGAGCCCAGGGAGCACGGACCUACCCGCUGUGCCACGUUAACGCUGGAGAAGGGUCACCUGCAGAUGCUCAGGCCAGGCUGACGCCUCAUCUCUGAGAGGAACAGCCUGAGACAGACCAGCACUGCCUCCCCGCCCAGGAAGAAGAGUCUGGAGAGACGGGAAGAAGACCCGGCAAUGCCAGGACAGCAGGGACUGCAGGUAUAAUGGUCCACGCAUUGAUAACGAAGCAGCAGCAAUAUGAUGGAUGUAGUGUGGACAAGGAGUGUCGCCUGCCAUUCCAGUAACAAAGAACACCGGGCACGAUCGAGCCAUCAGCUGCUGCAGCUGCCCUGACAGCGUGCCCUUUGGGGAUUCAGGAAACAUUCUGUGCUCUGGAAAGUAUUGGAUUAAAAAUGAAGAUGUCCCUUCUUCGGAGCUGGAAGCCCUGAUGAGCAUCUCCUUCCUGACAUCUCCUUCCUGACGGCACUGGCUUUCUCAGGCAACUGGGAAACUGGUGGGAGCGCUGGAGGUAAGUCCUCACACUGAGCUGCCGUCUGUAGAGGGAAACCCACUCAUCUCAGCUGGGGACACACAUAAGAGCCGGCCACUCAGUGCUGCAAGCCCCCACCAUGGUCUUAGGCUACAGAAGGUAGGGACCUGUAAGAGCGCUGCAGUGGCUCUAGGCUAAAAUCCAGAGGAAUCAAGCUCACAACCAGCACACUGGCCCACCACGGGAUCAUCACUAAUGAUUCUUAUCUCAACAAAUCGACCUUGCAAUGGGAAACAAAGCUUUCAAAACAAAAAGGAAGGACAGAUUGCUAGCCUCCAACUAACACCCAGGCCAGGUUCAUGUACAAUAUGUAUGGAAUUUAUACCUGCAAAUACUUACUUGAUUGGAGAAACCACACUAAAGGAGAUCACAACCUAAAAUGGCCAUAUUUGGGUUCUUCUGACAUUCCAGAAUGUUCUUGUAUAUGCAGCUAGUGAAAGCAGUCCGUAAGAUCAGACAGACGGAAUGGAAUGCUUAUGGAUAUUUAGAAGCUUCUAAAAGAGGAAAGGAUAAGCUUCCGCAGGAAAUCAACCAAAAAUUACUUUAUCAACAUUUCUGAAAGCUGCCAGUAUUAACCCUGCCUCUCCCUCUGCUUUUAUCUGAACCCACUGACGCAGAUGCUGUUCCCUUCUCUCUUCCAUCAGCUCUGCCCCUUGCUGCUUCCUCUCCCCUCAGGAAAGGAGGACAUUAAACCAGAAGUACUUCUAUCCCCCUUUAAGGAGAAACCUUUCACAGGAAGAGGUGAACUGUCCUCUGUGUUUACAUACACACCCUGGACUUGAACAAAACUUAGGGCUUUGGCUAAGGGGUUUCCUGAGCCUAGUCAAGACCCAUUGGGAUAUGCAAAGGAAUACGAGUUAACCAUCCAAACCUAUGAGUCUGGGUUUGCAGAUCUGUAUCCAUUAAUACAGCUAUUCCUUUCUGAAAGUAAAGCAAGGCAAUGGAUAGAGAAAGCAGAAUGGAAACACCCCUUAACAAACUUCGAUUUUCGAGUUGAAUGCAAGGAAUUAGCUCAUAAAUUACUCAUUUAUCCCAGAGUUUUUCCCAAAAGCCAUAGCCUGGACAAAAAUUCAGCACUGCAAACAAAAACAAGAUAAAAUCCUAGAUUAUGAGGUGUGAGAACUUUUAAACAAUAUACUGGCAUAACACCUGAAAUGUUCUCUAAUCACCAAAAUGAUCCUUUGCUUAAGUCCAUUUUAGAAGGUAUAAGUGAGGAAUUGGCUACUGUAAUUAAAAAACACAACUUAGGUUGGUCAGCGUUACAUACAAAUGCCCUUACCACACUGGCUGACCAGCUUUUCAAAACCAUUGAAGGAGAGGAUACAUCUAUAAAAAUCGUGAACCUUUGGGACUUCCCUGGUGGCACUGUGGUUAAGAAUCCUCCUGCCAGUGCAGACACAGGUUCAAGCCCUGGUCUGGGAAGAUCCCACAUGCUGUGGAGCAACUACUGAGCCUGCGCUCUAGACCCUGCGAGCCACAACUACUGAGCCUGCGUGCCACAACUACUGAAGCCCGUGCUCCGCAACAAGAGAAGCCACUGCAAUGAGAAGCCUGCGCACUGCAACUAGAGAAAGCCCAUGCACUGACGUGCUGCAAUGAAGACCCAACGCAGCUAAAGAUAAAUUUAUUAAAAAAAAAAAUCGUGAACCUUCAAUCAUGCCAAUUAAGUAAGCAAGGUCAGGCUACAGUUAACAAACCCUGGUUCAAUCCUCGACUGACAGAGGAACCUAGCAUUUGCUUUUACUGUGUUAAAAAAAAAAAAAAAAAACAUUGGAGAAGGAACUAUAGAAAAAUGAAAGAUUUCAAGAACAGACUAGAUUUCAGAUCAGAAUACCGAGUUACACAAGAAUAGGGCUCCUCUGAGGGAACAGUGGGAGUCUUUCUUAUGUAACACCCUGGGAGAAGUACACAAGACAGAGAGAAACAAAGCCCUAAUAGAUACAGGGACCACCUUCUCAGUUUUAAAUCAAAAUCAGAGGCUCCCUCCCAUGAAGUAAUACUUCAGUGUAGAUGGUAGGGAUUUCUACUGCACCUCUUAAGGCUCUUAAACCAUUAUCUUCAGCAUUUUACUUAGGAGAACUUAAAGGAAGGCACUCAUCGUUUCUAGUAGAAAGCACCCCUAUUCACCUGACAGGAAGAGAUUUAUUAGAAACUUAUGAAGCCCAUAUUUCCUUACUCCUAAGGGGGAGAUGUUUUUAGAGCUGAUUUCCUUCAUCAUACAAUGUUUGUGACCCAUGGUCAAGGUGAUGCAGACUAAGAUUUGCUAGGCUUAGUACCUGAAGAGUUACUGACAUAUGGAAAUACGUUCCACACCGCCCGUUAAAACGACCAGAGAUGAGAAGAACCGCGUCAGUACCCCUAUGGAGGCAGGAAGCCAUGGAGGGAAUAACACCUGCCACCAGCUCACACUGAGAAAGGCUUCACGCCUUGCACCGGCCCUUGGAACACACUCACUCUGCCAGUUAGAAGACCUCAUGGCAAGGGCUGGAGGUUUGUGUAGGGUUUGAGCUCUAGCAGUGCUAUCAUUACUCCUCGCCAUUGUGUAGUGCCAACCCCCAUCCCUCACCGUCCUGUGUUCCUGAGAAGAGUGACUUCUUUUCUGUGGCCUCCGCAGCGCACUGUUCAGCACCCCUGUGCGUCCUGGUGGCCGGUACCCUUUGCCUCUACUCGGGGUGAACGGCAGCGUGCGUGGAGUGCAAUGCGGCAGGGCUAUACUCACCGUCCCCAGACACUAAGAACGUACCUAGAUGACCUAGCUUUUCUUCAUAAGUCAGUUCUGACACAGUGUGCAGAUGAUUUGCUGUUGUGUUCAAAUUCUUUGAUAAAUAGGAAGACAGCCUGUACUUCAGGAACUAGCUCAAAGGGACAAAGUGUCCGAGGAAAAAUUACAGUUUUGUAAGGCUAAUGUGAAAUAGUUAGGACAAAUGAUAUCUCAAGGACCUUUAAUUGAUGGUGCAAGACAUUUUGGCUUUCCCCGCCCCAGGACAAAAGGGCAUUUAAGGGGAUUUCUAGACCCUGCAGGCUAUUGCAGGAACUGGAUUACAAAGUUUUUUUUUUAGUGGCCCAACCAUUAUAUAACUUGUUUAAACAAGGCCAAGCUGAACCUCGUUGGGAAAUAAAACAUUCUGAAGCCAGGGAGACCCUAAAAAGAACCCAGCCUUGGGGCAUCCAAAUUAUGAUUUACCCAUUUUUCUCUUUGUACAUGAAAACAAAGGUGCCACAUGGAGUAUUAACCCAGCAACACAGCGGUUACUACCCACCAGUAGGAUAUACGGCCAGCAGCUAGCUGCAGUAAACAAGGGCUUCUCCCCCCCUCCUUGUCCCGGGGCUGUCUCAGCAACAGCUGUGCUGCAUCAUGAGUCACACUCUCACCAUUCUUUGUCCCCCAUGCCAUGGAAGCUUUACUAAACCCAUCACACACAUUAUUCAAGCCGAUUUAACUUCUCAUGAGAUUGUCUCGCUCUCACCAAAUCUCUCCCCACAGGUGUGACAAACUUCAGCCACCUUGCUCCCAGAAGAAUCAGAUGUUAAUAAUGAAUAUCUUUUCUACCCCAGGACUGAUCUUCAAGAAAGCCCAAUGGAUAAACCUGAUUUUGUUACUCAUGGGUGGUGCGUAUCUGUGAGGACCUCAUGGGAGGUGCCAGGCUGGCUCUGCCAUUGUUCCUCCAGUGUCUGUCCUAGAAAAUGGUCCCUCGUCUCAUGUCUCUUCUGUCCAGCAGGCUGAACUAAUAGCACUGAGAGCCUGCCAGCUGGCAGAAGGAAAGCCUGCUGAUACUUACAGACGGCCGCUGUGCUUUUGGGGUGGACCAGGAUUUCUAACAUCCCGAGGACAGCCUAUUAAAAAUGGUAAACAUGUAGCAGACUUGUUGGAUGCCAGUCUCCUGCCAGGUGCACUUGCUAUUCAGGUAUCAUUCAAAGGCUGACACUGCUGAAGCAAAAGGAAACUCUUUAGCUGAUCACGUUGCCAAGACUGAGGCUCUGAAAAACAAAAACAACCAGCUAAUCACUGCCUUUCCCUUUCAGCCUCCCAGCAACCUUACUGACAUGGUAAAGUUUCAAGGAACAGCACCAGAAAACAGACACCUGGACACACAAGGGAGGAAGACUGAACGCACACAAAGAGCUGUGGAUACACCCAGAUGGGAAGCCUAUCCUUCCGUUUGAAGCUCAAUAUCCUAAUUUGCAAUAUAUUCACGAGUUAAUACACUGGAACCCAGAUAAGACGGUAUUAUGGGGUAAAAAAUUGUCUAAAGGCUUUUGUGAUAGCUCAGGAGGUGUUUAUUCAAGAUGUGCCACUUGUCCAAAAUAUAACCUAGGGAAGCCGUUACAUAGUUCUCAAGGGAAUUUGCCAUGACCUGCAGGUCCCGUUGCGAUUUGGCAGACUGAUUUUAUACAGUGCCCCCCUCUCAAGGUUAUCAGUAUGUUCUUGUUAUGAUUUGUAUGUUUUCACACUGGGUUGAGGCAUCCCAUGCUGAAGGGCCACAGCCCAAUCGGUAGGGAAUUUAUUUUACGAAGAGUGAUGCCCAUCUGGGGAGCCCCCUCAGAACCACAUGCUGACAGAGGAACUCAUUUUACUGGACAAAUGGUUAAGAUUGGGCCCGUUACGCAGCAUUUCCAUUGUGCUUACCACCCCCAGUCCUCUGGGUUAGUAGAAAGAACAAAGGGAACAAUUAAAACCCAGCUGGCUAAGAUGAUGAAUGUUUAUUCCUUACCUGGCCUAAGGCCCUUCCAUUGGUUCUCCUCAACCUCAGAUCCACCCGUUUCGGAAAACAUUUGUCUCCUUUUGAACUGAUCAGGCGGAGACCAGUGAGACUGGAUGAAGGACUAUAUGAACCUAUACUAAUGAGAAGGGGUAUGUUACGUUAUUGCAAGGGUGUAAUUGCAUUAACAGGACAUUAUAAGCUUGUUUCCGGACCUUAUCACAGUACUCUUUCCUUAAAUGAUGAUCAGAUGCCCUAUGACCUGCAACCUGGAAAAGGCAUCAUUUAACGGACUCUCUCCAACCUAGAUGGAAGGUCCCUUAUCAGGUUCUUUUAAGUAGCUCAUGCACAGCAAAAUCGAAGGUAAUUGACUCUUGGAUUCAUAUUUCCCACCUAAAAAGGCACCGGUCUGGUCUACAGAGAGGACUGCUGACCUCAAACUCCCCUUAAAGCGAUGCUCUGAUAGGAAAGAAACACCAAUGCCAGGACGAGAAGACGACGACAUCAGAAGGAGACAGCUAUCCCAAGAUGCUGGACCUUACCGUAUGAUUAUUAAUAACAUUUUCUUGAUUUCUUGGACUUUCUGCACAUGAAUCAAAUGUUUUUCUAUCAUGGGUACGAUCCUGUGCAGAUUUUAGAAGUCAUUCCAGUUGUUGGGUUUGUGGUCAAUUACCUACAUCCACUACUUCUGGUUAGUGGGUUUCUCCUCUCCAAGGCUCUGAUUGGAUGGCCCAUAGAAAACUUUAGAAAAAAGAAGUUAAAGUUCUGUCUGAUCCGCAACUGAUGCUACUAUGGGAACCCCUCACUUGGCCAGUCAAGCAUUCUUGCUCUGACUUUGGCCAUAAAUGAGUUUUCCCUUAAAGUUACUCAAGCUCAAUUAGAGCAACAGCUAAAUUUCGGUCAAAAAUUAUAACUUCCUAUUAGGAGGGAUACCCCCUCAGUUAUGGGAUAGGUUUAUAUGGCUAAUACCAGGCUGUGGUCCCUUAAGGCGCCUCCCUAUGUUGGGAACAAUUAAAUCACACUGAAGAUAUUCAGCCUAAUAACACCAGAAAAUUAGGCUGGGUGCCUUAAUGAAAAAUGUCAGUGUAUCAUCAUUUCCCUUAAAGAUAGUGAUUGAUAUGGAACAGACUGGGUCAGGCGCCCAGGAGUAUACUGGGUUGCACCCAGUGGAACUCAGUGGUUUUGUGGCACCAGUCUACAUCCCUGGCUUCUUCCAGGAUGGAUGGGAAGAUGUACUUCAGGAUUCCCUAGGGCUCAAGGCCACUUGUGUGCUAAUUUAGAGAUGACUCCAGCAAAUUUACCAAGAGAUCUGUAUUCCCCUCGUAUGAUCAUGUAGCAUCUAUUUUUAUGCUUUUAGUAGGAUUGGAAGAUGGACCUCCCAUAUCAAAGCCUUAACAGAAUUCACCCAAAAGCCCCUAAAUGAUUAAUCAUUGAGGCCUCUGUGAUGAGAAAAGUGGUAUUACAAAAUCACAUGGCCCUUGAUAGCCUUAUAGCAUCUCAAGGAGGCACCUGUGCUAUAAUUCAAACUGAAUGCUGUGUUUUCAUACCAGACAAAUCCUCUACUCUAAUAGGAUGCAUUUAAUGACCCACACGAAAAACCAGAUUUCUGCCUUAAGUGAUUCACUUCCUAGUCUUGGUGAUCGUUUUAGGGAGCUGGUUUGGUUCCAGAACCUCAUGGCUUAAAUCCCUACUUAUGACUUUAUUAAUGUUACUACCUGUAUGACAUCCUGUCUGUUUUAUAAGAUCAUUGUCUCUUGUAUUACCCAAUGUGUAACCAGGCCUUUGACAAAAUGAAUGAUGGCUAAAAUCUUGAGGCAGUCAGUCAUAUAUAUAUAUGACUCUAUAUUGAAUAAUUGGAAUAGUGCCACUCUAGAUAUGAGAAGAAACAAGGAAAAAGACUUCCCGGAUCAUAACAGAUUAGUUAGGACAGGUGAUCCAGAGAAUUUUAGGUUAUCAACAGGGCCUAAUCCAAAAAUAAAACAUUGGCCUAUCAAGUCCUCAUCUGACCUACAAAAUGAGAAUUCCCAGCACUGUGGGACAAACUGGCCAUGAAUGGAGGAUACCAGGCACCAUUCUGUGCUCUGGAUACUGGCCUUAGUUAAGAUGCACACCUAAAGGAUAUUUUCACUAAAGGAUAUUUUCACUGAGCCCAGACUCUUGCAUCUUCUCAUGCAUAGAAAAGCACUAAAAUCAUUAACCUGAGAUGCCUGUUUUUGUGGUUAGCAGGAAUCUUUGUUCAGAAUUUCCUGUUUCAAGCAAAAAACUCCUACGUACCCUGGCUCCUCUGUAACCUCUGAGGGCUGUCUGACAGGCUAUAGUCCUCAGUACGGCCCCCCAAAAAACCUGAAGGUUGUGCGUUUUUCUUCAGUCAGUCAGCAGUAGACUGGUGCGGUUGACACGAGUGCUUCACAGUGGCCUAGCCUAUAUGGUAAUGAAUAACUCGUUACAUGUUUUUUAUGGCUUAUAACGUCAGUCAUAUUCAUAACACAGUAUUGGAAACAUUGUUACAUAAAAAGACAUUUACCUGUGAUAGGCUAAUCCACCGUCUGUCCCAACUACGAGAGACACAAAGAUCUAAAACAGUAAGAGCACUAUAACAUUCUUAAUUUUAUAUCGAAUACCACUCGCCUUAUGCCUGUGUAAGGAUAGACUAGUACCUACAUGUAUUUCAUGCAUUCAUGACAUACCUGACUCUUGUUUCAAUAUUUCUAGGCUGUGUGGUUUGUCUGAGUUUUUUCAAAUUGUUGCAAAUCUCCAAAAAAAUUUCCAAUAUAUUUAUUGAAUAAAAUCCACCUUUAAGUGGACCCAUGCAAUUCAAGGUUCACCUGUAUAGUGGGCUGGAAGAGAGGAGAGAGUUUCUACAACCUGGCAGAUGAUUUACACGGGCUCUGUCCCACCUGUCUGACAGGUGAGAAAAGACAUGGCUACCUGGUGAGCUCUCCCAGCCCAUUGUUAGUGAACCAGACUUGGGUGCAACACUGGGUUGUGGUGAAGGAAGGUGCAGCGUUUGUAAGGCAUCCAACCUGGGCCCAAACAAGGAGGACGGGCAGCUUGCGCUCAAAAGACCUGAACCCCCUGUGGCACCACCCCAUCUUUUAGGGGAGGGUUUUUAAAGACAGGGUGCAGGAGAGGGUCGCAGGGUGUGUUGCCCUCAGUGUUCAGGCUAGAAAGAAGAUCCUCUAGUGAAGUUGUGACAUACGAGUUUGUAUCAAUUCCCUUCAGUCUCACUGUGCCUGAGCAAGUUAAGGGUACCUGAUAAGUAAAUUAGGAGUCUGAGAUUAACAUACACACACUACCGUAUAUAAAAUAAACAAGGACCUACUGUAUAGCCCUGGGAACUAUACCCAAUAUCUUGUAAGAGCCUAUAACGGAAAAGAAUCUGAAAAAGAACAGAUAUAUAUGUAUACAUAACUGAAUCACUAUGCUGUACACCUGAAACAACACUGUAAGUAAACUAUACUUCAAUAAAAAAAUAUAUCAUUGAUGCUUGAUUAAAAAAAAAAGUACCUCGUAAGAGUCCUUCCAUCUAGGUUGGAGACAGUCCUUUCAAUGAUGCCUUUUCCAGUAUGUGUGAUCUUUAUCCAAAGAGAGAUUGCUGUGAUAAGCUUCAGAAACAAACUUGAGUGUCCUUUAACAAUUCAAUUAAAACUUGACAAUUAUGUAACAUAAUUGGGAUAGUUAAGGAGUUUGGGAUUAACAUGUACACACUACUAUAUAUAAAAUAGAUAACCAACAAAAGGACCUACUGCAUAGCACAGGGAACUCUGCUCAAUGUUAUGUAAAAACCUAAAUGGGAAAAGAAUUUAAACAAGAAUAGAUACAUGUAUAUGUA